GAGCAGACACAUUCCAGCCAAUCAGCAGCAGACCCUCCCUCCCAGACCCUCCCACAUCCUGGACAGAAUCCAUUUUACAUUCAUUGUGAAGCUGCAUUCUUAGUGAGCUGUCCAGGAGGUGGAAGGGUCUGGGAGGGAGGGUCUUCUGCUGAUUGGCUGGAAUGUGUAUGCUG
Molecule: microRNA precursor, 173 nt
Filed under: Pelobates cultripes (western spadefoot toad)
Lineage: Eukaryota; Metazoa; Chordata; Amphibia; Anura; Pelobatidae
Source: RNAcentral